GCUUGCUCCCGGAUGUUAGCGGCGGACGGGUGAGUAACACGUGGGUAACCUGCCUGUAAGACUGGGAUAACUCCGGGAAACCGGAGCUAAUACCGGAUAGUUCCUUGAACCGCAUGGUUCAAGGAUGAAAGACGGUUUCGGCUGUCACUUACAGAUGGACCCGCGGCGCAUUAGCUAGUUGGUGAGGUAACGGCUCACCAAGGCGACGAUGCGUAGCCGACCUGAGAGGGUGAUCGGCCACACUGGGACUGAGACACGGCCCAGACUCCUACGGGAGGCAGCAGUAGGGAAUCUUCCGCAAUGGACGAAAGUCUGACGGAGCAACGCCGCGUGAGUGAUGAAGGUUUUCGGAUCGUAAAGCUCUGUUGUUAGGGAAGAACAAGUGCAAGAGUAACUGCUUGCACCUUGACGGUACCUAACCAGAAAGCCACGGCUAACUACGUGCCAGCAGCCGCGGUAAUACGUAGGUGGCAAGCGUUGUCCGGAAUUAUUGGGCGUAAAGGGCUCGCAGGCGGUUUCUUAAGUCUGAUGUGAAAGCCCCCGGCUCAACCGGGGAGGGUCAUUGGAAACUGGGAAACUUGAGUGCAGAAGAGGAGAGUGGAAUUCCACGUGUAGCGGUG
RNAcentral lists this ribosomal RNA (620 nucleotides) under Bacillus altitudinis. Its description in RNAcentral is "bacterial SSU rRNA". It matches the Rfam family "Bacterial small subunit ribosomal RNA", at positions 78 to 683 of the family's 1533-position model. Lineage: Bacteria; Bacillati; Bacillota; Bacilli; Caryophanales; Bacillaceae. The record is from RNAcentral. RNAcentral also lists the same sequence under 1 other name.